GAAAAUCAUAUUAAAACAGUCUUGCAGUUAUGAAUAUGAGACAUGUAAUAGUUACCCUCCAAAUUCAAGCCAUGGGUGCAAAAAUACUGAAGACAUUCUCGACAUUGUAACAUUGCAUUGUACAAUAUUUGGAUGAAAAGCUUUCAGUCCAAUUAUGAUGCUCUUAUGGAAUGAGUUCCUUUGCCAUU
Molecule: long non-coding RNA, 188 nt
Organism: Thalassophryne amazonica
Lineage: Eukaryota; Metazoa; Chordata; Actinopteri; Batrachoidiformes; Batrachoididae
Exons: 3
Source: RefSeq, a predicted model, not a curated record